RNAcentral lists this long non-coding RNA (444 nucleotides) under Cyanistes caeruleus (blue tit). RNAcentral's name for it is "lncRNA (ENSCCEG00000006330.1)". The record is from RNAcentral. Lineage: Eukaryota; Metazoa; Chordata; Aves; Passeriformes; Paridae.
GUCCAUCCAAAACAUUCCUGCUUCUUCUCCAGGAGAUCGGAAUCUAAGUCAGGGAUUUAAUGUGCAGUUUAACCUGCAGGUCUCACUGUGUCCAGCACCCAAAUGGAAGAAUCCCUUGCCUGUCUUGAACUCCUCUGGGGCUUUGUGCAGCAUCUCCUUCCCAGCUGGAUUCCCUGGUGAGAGCUGCGCUCCCAAACUGGCACCAUAACCACUUGGCAAUACCAGCAGAAUUGCAUCUGAGCUUCAUCCUCAGACCUCUGAGAGCCUCGUACUCAACACGUUGAACCUGAUCUGACACCAGAGUUGACAGAGAGGGCCUGAUGGGGUUUGAAUGCUCUUAAAACCACACUAAUGCCUCCUAAGAGGGGGAUUAAGUGAUGGGGAUGAGACAGAGCGAGCUCCCCUGCUGUGUGAUCCCACAGACCUUCUCUGAGUGAGCACCUU